GACGAACGCUGGCGGCGUGCCUAAUACAUGCAAGUAGAACGCUGAAGCGAGGAGCUUACUCUUCUUGGAUGAGUUGCGAACGGGUGAGUAACGCGUAGGUAACCUGCCUUGUAGCGGGGGAUAACUAUUGGAAACGAUAGCUAAUACCGCAUAACAAUGGAUGACACAUGUCAUUUAUUUGAAAGGGGCAAUUGCUCCACUACAAGAUGGACCUGCGUUGUAUUAGCUAGUAGGUGAGGUAAUGGCUCACCUAGGCGACGAUACAUAGCCGACCUGAGGGGGUGAUCGGCCACACUGGGACUGAGACACGGCCCAGACUCCUACGGGAGGCAGCAGUAGGGAAUCUUCGGCAAUGGGGGCAACCCUGACCGAGCAACGCCGCGUGAGUGAAGAAGGUUUUCGGAUCGUAAAGCUCUGUUGUAAGUCAAGAACGGGUGUGAGAGUGGAAAGUUCACACUGUGACGGUAGCUUACCAGAAAGGGACGGCUAACUACGUG
RNAcentral lists this ribosomal RNA (497 nucleotides) under uncultured bacterium. Its description in RNAcentral is "partial 16S ribosomal RNA". It matches the Rfam family "Bacterial small subunit ribosomal RNA", at positions 28 to 507 of the family's 1533-position model. The record is from RNAcentral.